UAAAUUCUUAUUGCCAGCCUCAUGUUGCAACUGGUCCAUUCUCUAAAAAUGGUGUUCCUGAAGAACCUAUCACCGGUGAAGCAAGAGGUCUACAAAUGCCAUCUGUAGACUUGGCUUCCAAUGCCACUCAACAGGUGGAGACUGAAAACCUAAUUAGAGAUGCAGCCUCUUCUUCCAAUGCCAAUCCACAUUGUGAAGCAAGAGGUGUACAGAUGCCAUCUGUAGACUUGGCUUCCAAUGCCACUCAACAGGUGGAGGCUGAAAACCUAAUUAGAGAUGUAGCCUCUGCUUCCAGUGCCAGUCAACAUUUGGAAGCUGGGAAUGUAAUCAGUGCAACAACAGCUGCAGAAUUUCCCACUGUUGAUCUCAAUGUCCCUCCUUGUGAUCCCUAUUCAUCUCAGUCCACAAAUGUGAAU
RNAcentral lists this long non-coding RNA (416 nucleotides) under Phaseolus vulgaris (common bean). RNAcentral describes it as "long non-coding RNA (PVUL_LNC004162)". The record is from RNAcentral. Lineage: Eukaryota; Viridiplantae; Streptophyta; Magnoliopsida; Fabales; Fabaceae.